UUCUUCAGCCGCUUCUCCCUCUCUCCCUUCCCCUCUCUUCUCAUAUUCAGUCUUCUUCUUAGUUCUUCCCCAAUGAUGACUGAACCUCCAAGCUCCCAUAUCUCUUUCUCUUUCCUUAUUUCUUUCUCUCUCUCUAGUUGAGACCUCCUUGUUAGGGAGGAUUAUGUCUCCAUUGGUUUUCCUAGUAGCUAAAACUCCAUGAGAUUUUGGAGUGGAUUAAACCCAAGGUUUUGAGAUUCUUGGUGAUGGACCUAGUGACGAGAUUGGUUGAUUUCCUUUAUUUUUGCAACUAAGAGAUACAUUUGAGGGAUUUUUGGAGUAGAGAUUCUUGGAAGACAACAGUUACGAAUUAUUUUGUGGAACUGAGGAUUUUAUUAUUAUUUUUAUGGCAUUAAACAUGGUACUGGAAAACUAUUUUGAGGAUGUUUUACAUUUGGUGGAUUAGAGCUCUAACAUUUGUGAUAAGAUUUUAGGUUUCUAGUUUCUUUUAUUUAAUAUUUUUUUAUUAUAGAUUAUUUAGA
Molecule: long non-coding RNA, 521 nt
Organism: Quercus lobata
Lineage: Eukaryota; Viridiplantae; Streptophyta; Magnoliopsida; Fagales; Fagaceae
Exons: 3
Source: RefSeq, a predicted model, not a curated record